GCUGCAGUGGUGGAAUUGGUAGACACGCUAGCUUGAGGGGCUAGUGGAGGUUGACUCCGUGGAAGUUCAAGUCUUCUCUGCAGCA
RNAcentral lists this transfer RNA (85 nucleotides) under Sediminispirochaeta smaragdinae DSM 11293. RNAcentral describes it as "tRNA-Leu (GAG) (tRNA-Leu-GAG-1-1)". It matches the Rfam family "tRNA". Rfam says of the family: Transfer RNA (tRNA) molecules are approximately 80 nucleotides in length. Their secondary structure includes four short double-helical elements and three loops (D, anti-codon, and T loops). The record is from Rfam by way of RNAcentral. Lineage: Bacteria; Pseudomonadati; Spirochaetota; Spirochaetia; Spirochaetales; Spirochaetaceae.